Molecule: non-coding RNA, 102 nt
Organism: Dissoconium aciculare CBS 342.82
Lineage: Eukaryota; Fungi; Ascomycota; Dothideomycetes; Mycosphaerellales; Dissoconiaceae
Source: the annotation of a RefSeq genome assembly
GGCCCAAUGGUCUAGUGGUAUGAUUGUCGCUUCGGGUUCUUCCCUCUUCUCCACGAGAAGAAUGAUUGUGACAGGCCCCGCGUUCGAAUCGCGGUUGGGCCC